CUAGGGCUACAGGGAUAUAUUACACAGGCAUAGAUCGUGCUCUCAAGACUUGACAAUCAAAUAGGGCAGACAAUCAGAAAAUUAAAAUCCAGGAAGAUAACAGCAACGAUGAAAAAGAGUUCAGAACCCUGGAGAAGAAUAACCUUACAAAAAUUCUGGGGUCAGGAAGUCUUCCCAGGAGAGAUGACAUCUCAGCUGAGGAUUAAAGUUUCCAUGGGAAUGACCCAGUAUCCUUUGCUGACACUCCCAUGUGGCUUUGUGUAGAACAAUGAUCCAUAGCCAGGAUGCCCACAGACAUCACACUGGCUGUUCUGAGAAGAAUGAAUGACAAGAGACAAAGAAUGAAAGGAAGGCAAAGAUUCUGGGAAGAUGAUGUUAGGACUCAGAAAACAACACCCCAAAAUAAAAGCCUCAGAAGCAAUAGUUUUUCUCUGAUCUUUUCCUGCACUCGUCUCUCAGUUCAAUUCUCCUCCAAGGCUAGCCAUAGAAACUGAGUUCCUUUUCCCCAAAGCCAGCCAUGAAAACUAAAAAUGUUACUCUAAUUUUCCCCUCACCUUUCUGUGUAAACAACUGGCCAUAAAGAAGUUAUCUGACCUACCUUGUUUGAAUGGGAGUCAUAAGCCCCCAUUCCAGAGAGGAUCCUGUCCCAUACCCAGAAGGAACAAAUGCAGG
This 672-nucleotide long non-coding RNA is filed under the name Homo sapiens (human). RNAcentral describes it as "HSALNT0213823". The record is from RNAcentral. Lineage: Eukaryota; Metazoa; Chordata; Mammalia; Primates; Hominidae.